AUAUGGUACAGAGGCCGCGAUUGUCAUCAGUAUUGUGUAAUAUACACAAGAAAGGGGCAUUCGCCGAAAUAUGUAACUCAGGUUAUAUAUUGGGACUAUGCUUAACAAGUAUAGUACUGUCUUAGAGAGAUUGCCCAAUUUUUCUAAGGAGUGCUUAUCAUAU
Molecule: non-coding RNA, 163 nt
Filed under: Clostridiales bacterium
Lineage: Bacteria; Bacillati; Bacillota; Clostridia; Eubacteriales
Description: Lysine sequence
Rfam family: Lysine riboswitch aptamer
About the family: Riboswitches are metabolite binding domains within certain messenger RNAs that serve as precision sensors for their corresponding targets. Allosteric rearrangement of mRNA structure is mediated by ligand binding, and this results in modulation of gene expression.
Source: RNAcentral